This 497-nucleotide ribosomal RNA is filed under the name uncultured bacterium. RNAcentral's name for it is "partial 16S ribosomal RNA". It matches the Rfam family "Bacterial small subunit ribosomal RNA", at positions 28 to 507 of the family's 1533-position model. The record is from RNAcentral.
GAUGAACGCUGGCGGCGUGCCUAAUACAUGCAAGUCGAGCGAACAGACGAGGAGCUUGCUCCUCUGACGUUAGCGGCGGACGGGUGAGUAACACGUGGAUAACCUACCUAUAAGACUGGGAUAACUUCGGGAAACCGGAGCUAAUACCGGAUAAUAUAUUGAACCGCAUGGUUCAAUAGUGAAAGACGGUUUUGCUGUCACGUAUAGAUGGAUCCGCGCCGCAUUAGCUAGUUGGUAAGGUAACGGCUUACCAAGGCAACGAUGCGUAGCCGACCUGAGAGGGUGAUCGGCCACACUGGAACUGAGACACGGUCCAGACUCCUACGGGAGGCCGCAGUAGGGAAUCUUCCGCAAUGGGCGAAAGCCUGACGGAGCAACGCCGCGUGAGUGAUGAAGGUCUUCGGAUCGUAAAACUCUGUUAUUAGGGAAGAACAAAUGUGUAAGUAACUAUGCACGUCUUGACGGUACCUAAUCAGAAAGCCACGGCUAACUACGUG